RNAcentral lists this ribosomal RNA (304 nucleotides) under uncultured bacterium. RNAcentral's name for it is "bacterial SSU rRNA". It matches the Rfam family "Bacterial small subunit ribosomal RNA", at positions 28 to 334 of the family's 1533-position model. The record is from RNAcentral.
GAUGAACGCUGGCGGCGUGCUUAACACAUGCAAGUCGAACGAUGAAGCCCAGCUUGCUGGGUGGAUUAGUGGCGAACGGGUGAGUAACACGUGAGUAACCUGCCCUUGACUCCAGGAUAAGCCCGGGAAACUGGGUCUAAUACUGGAUAGGAACGUCUACCGCAUGGUGGAUGUUGGAAAGAUUUCGGUCAUGGAUGGACUCGCGGCCUAUCAGCUUGUUGGUGAGGUAAUGGCUCACCAAGGCGACGACGGGUAGCCGGCCUGGGAGGGUGACCGGCCACACUGGGACUGAGACACGGCCCAG